CUCGUAACAAUAUUAUUAUAGUACGCUGGAACAAAAUAAUUAUAGUAUUAUAUUGAAGGUAUACAUCGCGUCAUCGUAAUAUUAUAAUAUUGAUAGAAAAAAAAAAAAAAUAAUAAUAAAAUAAAAAUAAAAAACCACAUAUAUUAUGUAUUAUCGUGUGAUUUUAUGGCACCGGUUAAACGAAAAGGGGUUUUUUUUUCCAUCUUUUCUUUAUAGAACAAUAAUAUUAUUACAAAACGCGUGCGUGGCGUGUACGUACCGAAACACGCGUGUAUAUUAUAAAUUAUGUACGGUCACUAAUACAGUUAUUUAUGUACAAUAAAUAAUUACUCAUAAAAAUGUUAAUAAUUAGUUGGUUUUUUUUUUUGUUUUUUUUUUUUUAAUAUUGCGUAUAACAUAAAAACGAGAAGAAAUUACGUGAGUGUGAAAAUUUUCAAAAAAAAAUUAUAAAAAAGGUAUUAUAUUCUGUACUACAUUAAUAUUAUGUUAUGUUAUA
This is a non-coding RNA of Cinara cedri, 496 nucleotides long. The record is from the annotation of a GenBank genome assembly. NCBI's taxonomy places the organism in Eukaryota, Metazoa, Arthropoda, Insecta, Hemiptera, Aphididae.